Molecule: ribosomal RNA, 253 nt
Filed under: uncultured bacterium
Lineage: Bacteria
Description: partial 16S ribosomal RNA
Rfam family: Bacterial small subunit ribosomal RNA
Source: RNAcentral
UACGAGUGGGGCAAGCGUUGUUCGGAAUUACUGGGCUUAAAGCGUGCGUAGGCGGUCAUGAAAGUCAGAAGUGAAAGCCCUGGGCUUAACCCGGGAAUUGCUUUUGAAACUCCAUGACUAGAGACUGGGAGAGGUUAGCAGAAUUCCGAGUGGAGAGGUGAAAUUCGCAGAUAUUCGGAGGAAUACCAGUGGCGAAGGCGGCUAACUGGACCGGUACUGACGCUCAGGCACGAAAGCGUGGGGAUCAAACAGG